UGGGGAAUUUUGGACAAUGGGGGAAACCCUGAUCCAGCCAUCCCGCGUGUGCGAUGAAGGCCUUCGGGUUGUAAAGCACUUUUGGCAGGAAAGAAACGUCAUGGGUUAAUACCCCGUGAAACUGACGGUACCUGCAGAAUAAGCACCGGCUAACUACGUGCCAGCAGCCGCGGUAAUACGUAGGGUGCAAGCGUUAAUCGGAAUUACUGGGCGUAAAGCGUGCGCAGGCGGUUCGGAAAGAAAGAUGUGAAAUCCCAGAGCUCAACUUUGGAACUGCAUUUUUAACUACCGGGCUAGAGUGUGUCAGAGGGAGGUGGAAUUCCGCGUGGAGCAGUGAAAUGCGUAGAUAUGCGGAGGAACACCGAUGGCGAAGGCAGCCUCCUGGGAUAACACUGACGCUCAUGCACGAAAGCGUGGGGGGCAAACAGG
RNAcentral lists this ribosomal RNA (429 nucleotides) under Acidobacteriota bacterium. RNAcentral's name for it is "Acidobacteria bacterium partial 16S ribosomal RNA". It matches the Rfam family "Bacterial small subunit ribosomal RNA", at positions 355 to 776 of the family's 1533-position model. The record is from RNAcentral. Lineage: Bacteria; Pseudomonadati; Acidobacteriota.